Molecule: ribosomal RNA, 493 nt
Filed under: uncultured bacterium
Lineage: Bacteria
Description: partial 16S ribosomal RNA
Rfam family: Bacterial small subunit ribosomal RNA
Source: RNAcentral
AGUGAACGCUGGCGGUAGGCCUAACACAUGCAAGUCGAACGGCAGCACAGUAAGAGCUUGCUCUUACGGGUGGCGAGUGGCGGACGGGUGAGGAAUACAUCGGAAUCUACUUUUUCGUGGGGGAUAACGUAGGGAAACUUACGCUAAUACCGCAUACGACCUACGGGUGAAAGCAGGGGAUCUUCGGACCUUGCGCGAUUGAAUGAGCCGAUGUCGGAUUAGCUAGUUGGCGGGGUAAAGGCCCACCAAGGCGACGAUCCGUAGCUGGUCUGAGAGGAUGAGCAGCCACACUGGAACGGAGACACGGUCCAGACUCCUACGGGAGGCAGCAGUGGGGAAUAUUGGACAAUGGGCGCAAGCCUGAUCCAGCCAUACCGCGUGGGUGAAGAAGGCCUUCGGGUUGUAAAGCCCUUUUGUUGGGAAAGAAAAGCAGCAGGUUAAUACCCCGCUGUUCUGACGGUACCCAAAGAAUAAGCACCGGCUAACUUCGUGC